AUGUAAUGAUUUCAAAUAGAUUUUCUAAAUGAAUGGCUAGCAGAGAAAUUCACAGUGCUGGAAGUCAGGUGGAAUAUUUCUGUUACUAUCACUUGCGGAGUUGGUACUGGAGUAACCAAAUCACACAGGUGAGCUGGACCAGGAAAUCUCUGUUCUCUCACCAGAUGACUCGUGGGGAGCUGUUGCUUGCAAUUCCUUGUAAAUGCUGGUCUCGCUGGAUCAGGGUGUGAUCCAGUGAGCCACCUGUCCUUAGGCGUUGCAGGUGUUAAGUUCAUCUUUGUCCAUCUCUGUGUUUAGCCACCCAUCACCAAAGCAUAUCAUAUCCCACUGGUUCAUCCAAUCACAGAAUCAUAUCAUCAUUAAGGUUGGAAAGACCACUAAGAUCAUCCAGUCCAACCAUCAACCCAUCCCACCAUGCCCAAAGCCCAUGUUCCUCAGUGCCACAUCUCCGCUGUUCUCAGCCACCUCCAGGGACAGUGACUCCUCCACCCCUCUUAAAGCCUUUCCCUCUUGUCCUAUCACAUUUAGAAGGGGAGACUUAUCAGGUGAGAUGUGCGGGGAGGAAUGCAAUGAUGUAGGCAGCUGGGAGAGUGUCCCCACGCCUGUGCUGCUGGAGCCAAGGCAGGGGAUGAGUUUGGCGUGGCCAAAUUUGAAUGGCGCGCAUUUUUGUUGGGACUUGUUGAGAGGCAGUUCGAGCUUAACUGGAAUCUCACCUCGGUUUCCUUGUGCUGGCUGCCAAAAUUUGCCAUUGUAAACAAGUUGUACAACCCUAGGACAAUUUCAGUAGAUAAAGUGGGACUCCUGCUCUCUUUUACAUCAUGAGGUGUUGUGAAUGAGAGCAGAACUGCGCAGAGCAGACUCAGGACACUUCCCUGGGGUGAUAGUAACUAUUCAAGAAGAACAGCUCUGUAAAGGACUACAAGGUUGAAGUUCAGGUAUUGCCUCACCUGCGCGACUUCCUUCCAAGUCAAGGGCUGUGCAAGAGUAACCAGAUUUUGGUAUUUAGCUAUGGUUACUCAUUAAAGGCGGGGAGGAGGAUGAGGAAGAAACGAUCGCAGAAUGAAACCUGCUUUUGCAAGUGUCACUGGAACGAGUUGCCAGGCAAGGCGACAGAUGUCAACUCCAGGGUUCUGCUUCUCUUGAUGCUCACACUUCCACCCUGGGGAAGAGAGCUGAGACCCACAACAGGCAUCAAAUGGAGAAUCCCAGUACUGACAGUGAGAAAAAUAGUUCUGCACAAAGGUGAAUCCAAAUCAAUCCUCUGCACAAAGGUGAAUCCAAAUCAAUCCUCAUGAGAGACUUGAGAUGGGCCUAGAGGGAAUCCAAGAUCUGAAGCCCCUCUGUGGAAUUCUUGGGUGCGUUGCGAUGCUCGUGUUUUCCUGGCACC
Gallus gallus (chicken) is the source of this 1387-nucleotide long non-coding RNA. The record is from Ensembl. NCBI's taxonomy places the organism in Eukaryota, Metazoa, Chordata, Aves, Galliformes, Phasianidae.